CCGAGUCCCAGCGCCUUCCGCAGGGCCGAGGGGUCGUCGCCAGCUCACCGGCAGCAGAGCCGGGCGGACCGCGCCCAGGGCUGACUCACAACGCGCUCACUGCUGACCUCGCUCAGGCUGAGCUACAAGACCUGGAGCAACUCAGCUGCUUCCGAAAACGGAGAUAAACUUCUACUAAAUACCAUCUGAGCCUAUUCCUGCACAAAAGAGAGACUGAAGAAAAGAAAUUUGGGCCAAAUUCCAUAUUCCUGUCCUCUUUCAUGGCAGAAAAUUGGUCAAAGGCACCACAGUAGCAUGAAACUGAAAAGGAGUAGCAUCACCUACUGAAUGUUUAAGGUCCCUGCCCAUGCCUAUGCUGUUCUUCUCCCUAGAAUGCCUAGCCACCUAACAAGUAGCUCUAUCACCCUUCCUUUACCCACCCUCCAGUUUGAGCCCUUUUCCCAGUCACCCUAUCCAUGCUUCAGGAGGCACCGAAAGUCUAUAUAGGCAGUGCCUGCAACUGACCAGGAAGAGGCAGUAAGAGAGCAACCAGGUCUGCAGCACCUUCCUGCCUGGACUUGACUACCCCAGGAGCAGAGGGCCCAGGAAACUCUCCAAGCACUUCUCCACAGAAGAAAAUAGCUCGAGUUGAAACUUGUGUCCACAUGGUCCCCCGACGGAUUUAGAACUCAAAUUAUAGCCUCGGCAGGAAUCUUCACAAAGGACUCAAAUUAAGCAAGACCCAGAUGGAAACGAACAGGAGAAAGACAGCUUUAAGUCACACUGUAAAGUGAACUACAGUUCUAGCAGAGUCAGAGAGAAGAACUUGUUGAAACGCUAAACCAAACAGUUCAGCCUACAUUUCAGAACUCCACUUCAAGAACAUUCUCCCCCAUGUUUUUAGCCUGAGACUUGUGCAUGGACACGAAGUGGUUACAAGUUACUCAGGUUUCAAACUGAGUUCAUUCCUGUCCUUUGGACCAUCUCUCAAUGCCAGCAUUCAUCUACUUGGGCUCCAGAGAGCUCUGCGUUUGGCAAAGCAGAUAAAAUUAGCUACUGGAGUGAAUUUGGAAUCCAGGGUGGGCCAUUAAAAAAAGUACACAUGA
Long non-coding RNA from Felis catus (domestic cat), 1085 nucleotides. RefSeq lists it as uncharacterized. The record is from RefSeq and is a predicted model, not a curated record. The transcript has 4 exons. NCBI's taxonomy places the organism in Eukaryota, Metazoa, Chordata, Mammalia, Carnivora, Felidae.